This is a non-coding RNA of Vicia faba (fava bean), 207 nucleotides long. The record is from the annotation of a GenBank genome assembly. NCBI's taxonomy places the organism in Eukaryota, Viridiplantae, Streptophyta, Magnoliopsida, Fabales, Fabaceae.
AUGUUUAAAUCAUCCCAAAAUCUUCAAGAUAUUCUUCAAGCUUCAUGGAAGCCCCAUUUCUUCAAGACAUCAUCACCAUGUUCUCCCAAAUAUCCAAAAACAAAAUUGCCAAACAUCCUGCAUAUAAACAAAGGUUGCUGUCCACUUGCAUUCUUGCUGUCUAAACUGCUAACCAGCCUACAAACCUACCACAAAACAACAAAAUAA